This 303-nucleotide unclassified non-coding RNA is filed under the name plant metagenome. Its description in RNAcentral is "partial contains 5.8S ribosomal RNA, internal transcribed spacer 2, and large subunit ribosomal RNA". The stretch from base 1 to 105 matches the Rfam family "5.8S ribosomal RNA", at positions 50 to 154 of the family's 154-position model. The record is from RNAcentral.
GAAAUGCGAUAAGUAAUGUGAAUUGCAGAAUUCAGUGAAUCAUCGAAUCUUUGAACGCACAUUGCGCCCGCCAGUAUUCUGGCGGGCAUGCCUGUUCGAGCGUCAUUUCAACCAUCAAGCCCCCGGCUUGUGUUGGGGACCUGCGGCUGCCCGCAGGCCCUGAAAACCAGUGGUGGGCUCGCUGUCACACCGAGUGUAGUAGCAUACAUCUCGCUCAGGGCGUGCUGCGGGUUCCGGCCGUUAAAAGCCUUUUUUACCCAAGGUUGACCUCGGAUCAGGUAGGAAGACCCGCUGAACUUAAGC